AAGAAAGAGGGUAUCAGAUCACUCGAAACUGGUAUUCCGCCGUUUUUUUCUUUCCUCUUUUCUAUUUAUAAUUUUAAUAAAAAAAAAAGCUUUAUCCUUGUAAUUAAGCCAAGAAAGAACCUUUUUUGUGUCUAAUACAAGAACAACUAAUCAACUUUUUCUUCCAUCAAAUAGUAUUUAAUUUAUUACCGCUAUUAUUGUUACUGAACGACUAACCAAUUCCACUCUUUAAAAUUAAAUAAAAGGGAGUAGGUUCCAACAAAAAAAACAUCUUUGACAA
This 280-nucleotide long non-coding RNA is filed under the name Lupinus angustifolius (narrow-leaved blue lupine). RNAcentral's name for it is "long non-coding RNA (LANG_LNC001888)". The record is from RNAcentral. Lineage: Eukaryota; Viridiplantae; Streptophyta; Magnoliopsida; Fabales; Fabaceae.